CCCCCCGCGUUACCCGCCCGCGGCCACACCUGAGCCGCCCGCGUUACCCGCCCGCGGCCACACCUGCGCCGGCCACACCCGCGCCGACCCCUCCCCCGCGGUUCAACCCAAGGCCCGGCCGCCCCGCCCGCGUUACCGCCCACACCCGCGGCCACACCUGAGCCGCCCCGCGUUACCCGCCCGCGGCCACACCCGCGCCGCCCCCUCCCCCAGCCACGCCGCCCACACCCGGGCCGUCCACACCCGCGCCCCCCGCCGGGCCCCCCCGCCCCCCGCCCCGGUCUCGGGCAGCCCGGGUUCCCAGGCGCGGGGCUUGGGGGCGUCGGUUUCGCGGCUCCUAACGGCCGCCGGCGCGUGCCCCAGGCCAUUGCCCAGGCGGCGAGGGCGUGGGGGGGCAUCUGGCCGGCGAGCGCAGAGGUGGGGGGGCUCCCCGGGGGGCUCCCCGCCCCCAGCGACGAGCAGAGCGCGGCCCGGCCUUGCCCCGCGUCCAGGGGCGGCACCUCGCCUCCUAACCUGCCGCCUCCCGGAGCCUCAGAACGACCCGCGGGGCCCGGAGGGGCCUCGGCGCUCGUGUGAAAAUCAUCCUUGGCUCUAUCCACUUCCACCCUUCCCACAUUUGGACAAUCGCCAAAUCUUGACCUCUUCAAGCUGUCAGUUGCAUCUGCUCCUUCCAGUGGCCAGUACCCUUGUUUACCCUUUGUUGUCUUGUUUUCAUGCCUAAUCUUACCUUCCUACACUAGAUUGUUAAGUCCCACUGAGACCAUGCUCUACACCUUCGGAAUGAGUUUAAAUUGAAUAGGCCAAAUAAACCUGUCCCCACCCACCAUACUUUCUUUUCUCUUUACCCUGUAUUAUUUUUCUUAAAGAUUUUAUUUAUUAGAAGAGAGAGUGAGCAGGGGGUGUGGUGGUUGGGACAGAGGGAGAGGGAGAGGACGACUCCCUGCUGAUCAGGGAGCCCAACAUGGGCCUCCAUCCCAGGACUCCGAGAUCAUGACCUGAACCAAGGGCAGACCCUGAGCCACUCAGGCGCCCCUCCCCGGUGUUAUUUUUUGCCGUAGCACCUACUGCCAUCUGAUAACCUAUAUAUUUGUUCAUUUGCUUAUUGCCUGUUUCCUCCUCUUAGAAUAUUAGCUACAAGGAACUCAAAUUUGUUAGCUCCAGUGUCCAGAGCACUACCCGCCUGGUACAUCGCAGGCCCUCAGUAAACUUUUCUUAGAUAAAGAAUUAUCAUAUUUGGUGCCUUUUGUUGUAAAAUUCUUUUUAUGGUAAAAUAAAAUAUUGGACUUUGGCCAACUGAGAGGAGGUCUCUGGAUGGAUCCGUGCACAUCUGUAACAAUGAUUUCCAUAAUUCUAAACAAGUUUGUGUGUGUGCUUUUAUGUAUGUGACAGAGAAAAAGAGAGAGACACACAUAGAUUAUGUUCUCAUAAUUUUCUACACAAUUAUACUGAUUUUAUUUAUAGUUAAAAAAUGUUAAUAUUGAUUUGGCUAUUACUCUCUAACCUUUCAAAAUUUACUUACUCCUCUGAGUGUCAACUUUUCAGCUGAAAAGUGAGAAAUAAGAUUACCCAUUCAAGGGGUGCCUGGGUGGCUUAGUCGGUUAAGUAUCUGUCUUUGGCUCAGGUCAUGAUCCCUGGGUCCUAGGAUGGAGUCCCACAUCAGCUCCCUUGCAGCAGGGAGCCUGAUUUUCCCUCUCCCUCUGCCCCUACCCCCUGCUUGUGCUCUCUCAAAAUCUUAAAAAAAAAAAAAAAAAUUUACCCGUUGAAUAAAUGUACAGUAUACCUAUUAUAGACCAAGUACUGGUUUGAGUGAAAAAGAUAGAGGUACUUAUGACUUCCAGUCCAGCAGUUGUGGGUGUGUAACAGGAGCACGGGGGUGCAAGGGCAGCUGGCUCCAAGGGUCUCAAACAGAUCAGGUUCAGCCACUGGCUGCUGAUAAAAUCCAGAGGCAGAGAGAGUGGUGGUAAAAGAAGGAAAGAAUUUAUUUUAGUGAGGCCAACACUAAGAAGACAGUGGACUAACUUCUCAAAGACUGUCUCCAAAGUGCUGAAACUACUUCCGGGUUUAUAUAAGGAAAAUGAAGGACAAAGGUUGGGGGUACAUGUAGGUAGGCUAAAAAGGUCAGGCCAAUUACUGACCUGGGGUCAAUCACUCGGGACCUUAGGGACCCGGGGCAGUCUUUAUUCUUGAGGAGUAGUUUCAGUUCCCACCAAGGAUGCUUUGCACACAGGGUCUUUUGCAUGAGUUAACAGGUAAGCUGGAAACAAAGAACUUAAUCAGAAAGUAUAGACAGGUCAAAAUGGAGGCAGCAGAGGUCCUCUUUCACGUGUCUGCCGUGCAAUAAGUGACCAACAGUUAUCCUGGAUGCCAGAUUGAGCCUGAUGCUCAAAAUAGGAUGAAAUAUUUAGAGGCCUUGAGAGAGAUGUGAGGCAGAAACACUUUGCCAACAACUAUAUCAUCGUGUCCAACCAGAUGAACACGGCCGAGGUUGACACAGUGACAGGCAGGUCAACAGGCAGUUCAAAAUCUAUCGUAUCUACAGAGCGUUCUCAGGAGAGGCGAGUCAGAUGACUCCACCCUAUCUGGCCAAGGUUGACAGCAUUAUCUCAAAGAACUUCUGAAUGGGGAAGGUCAAGAUGUGGAAUAUUUGUCAUAAAACAAUUGUGGCACACACACACAUAUCCCCGCCAAAAUAUUUACUGGGUUUCUGCUGCGAUCAAUUGUGAGGAUGGAAUUACUAGGUGGAAAAGACUAUGGAGAAAGAAGAUUGGAAAGGAUUAAAAAUCAAGCAUUCAUUCUAAGAUAUACCAACGUUGAGAUGCAUAAAGGACAUCAAGUAGAGAUUAUUAGAAAGAUAAACUAAUGUGCAGCUUACCUCUCAAUCACUUUUCAACCAGCUGAAAAUAACUUUAAAAGAUUUUUAAGUAAUCUCUACACCCAACAUGGGACUCAAAUUUACAACCCUGAGACCCAGAGCCGCAGGCUGCACGGACUGAGCCCGCCAGGCACCCCUUAAAUUAAAACUUAAUAAAACAUAUCCUAGGAAACUAAAACGUGAGCCAUCAGCUUUUCUAGCAAACCAUUAAUCUCCAGGACAUUUCUGAGAAUCUGUGCAGUGCCCUCAGCCCUAUGUGCCCUGCAGCUACAGGACUUUGUGAUGAACUCAUUCAAAGCU
Molecule: long non-coding RNA, 3172 nt
Filed under: Canis lupus familiaris (dog)
Lineage: Eukaryota; Metazoa; Chordata; Mammalia; Carnivora; Canidae
Description: lncRNA (ENSCAFG00030021346.1)
Source: RNAcentral